RNAcentral lists this ribosomal RNA (281 nucleotides) under uncultured fungus. RNAcentral describes it as "partial 18S ribosomal RNA". It matches the Rfam family "Eukaryotic small subunit ribosomal RNA", at positions 548 to 836 of the family's 1831-position model. Lineage: Eukaryota; Fungi. The record is from RNAcentral.
UUGGAGGGCAAGUCUGGUGCCAGCAGCCGCGGUAAUUCCAGCUCCAAUAGCGUAUAUUAAAGUUGUUGCAGUUAAAAAGCUCGUAGUUGAACUUCAGACCUGACCGGGCGGUCCGCCUAACGGUGUGUACUGUCUGGCCGGGCCUUACCUCUUGGUGAGCCGGCAUGCCCUUCACUGGGUGCGUCGGGGAACCAGGACCUUUACCUUGAGAAAUUAGAGUGUUCAAAGCGGGCUUACGCCGGAAUACAUUAGCAUGGAAUAAUAAAUAGGACGUGCGGUUU